RNAcentral lists this non-coding RNA (28 nucleotides) under Bombyx mori (domestic silkworm). The record is from RNAcentral. Lineage: Eukaryota; Metazoa; Arthropoda; Insecta; Lepidoptera; Bombycidae.
GCGUUAAACAAUCGUCCUCGCCGGAAAU